GUUAUAAAUAGACAAUUUUUCCCUUAAUUUUUUUCUCCCCUCUUCCUGCAUUUUUGGGUUGACUUUUUGGUCUAGAAUUGGAGAAAAGGGAUCAAAUUUGCAAUUUCAUAGCAGUUUUGGGUAAUACUGAUGAUAUUACAGCGGAGGGAUAGGGGGUGUAAAGUGUCUUUCUGCAGAGCAGUCAUUGUGUCGGAAGUGAGAUUUUCACCCCAGUCAACUUCAAAUCCGUGUAGCAAAAAAUCUAAAUGGUCAACCCCCUACAAAAUUAUGAUGAGGAGAUUGCCAAAUGUUGUCCCCAUUGUGCCUAUAAAGAUUGGAACCAACGGAAUGUUGAGAAAAAAGCUACAGCCUGUGAUGUUACAGCCAUUUAACAUUGAAGUCAAUGGGCAAAUAAUUGCUAGUCUGAGUCCUGAUGAGAUAAAGAAACAUGGCCGACUCGGGAUGUUGAUAUUUUUUCAAGGGCUUAUUUCCUGAAGUUUUGAAUGGAAAGUGUCAGAAAUAGUAAGAAUACUGCUUUUUUAUUGCCCAGCAGUGCCAGGGCAAUGUUUCAUAGAGUGGAAUGAUUGACCUCAACACAAGUAUUAAAAAAAAAGAAGCAAAACAGGUCUACAUCUUAAAACCUGAUCUCUUCCUGGACUGGCUUUAGGAGAACGAUGAUGCAUAUCAAUUUCAUCCCUGAUCUCUAUGACACCUGUGGUGGAAGUGGAGGGCAAAUCGUAAUCAGUUUGGGACCUCUGUAAACUUUGCUUUUUGGUGAUGACUUAAUUUCCGAGCUUGAAAAGGACGCUUGUGUGUUUAUCAUGGCCUCUCAUAUUGGAAGAUAACAUUAAUGGCUUGUGUGUUGAUCGACGGUUGUGCAUAUCUCUUGGUCAGGAAAGUUGUAGGCACCAUCGCCAUUGUAAAUCAUUUGACAGGCUCGAGUGAACGGGGCGACCUAUGAUUGGUCAGCAAUGUAUCAGAUUCCAUACCGGGGGGUGGGGAUGAAAAAACUGUUGUAGUGUUACAUAAUCAGAUUAUUUCAACUUACUUAUCCUGUGGAAAUACAGCUAUAUAGGAGAUAUUUUGAAAUUCAUAGGCACUGCAUGUUUCAACAUUUUAGAUUUGACCACAAUUUGGCACUUAAAACUAUGUUAACAGAGAAAAACUGUGUGGUUUUCGAUGAAAGUGUUAAAAGUCUAAUAUUGCAUCAUGAUUACUGUUUUAAAGUAUUUUCGUGUUUGAUUUAUAUUGAAUUCAUCUCAUCUUUUUGAAGAAUGCAUUUAUGUUCAAAAAUAAAAAUGUUCUGUGGAAUUCAAAAUUCAUGUGCUUUUAAAUUAUCAGAUUCCAAACUGGGGGGUAGGGAUGAAAAAGCUGUUGUAGUGUUACAUAAUCAGAUUAUUUCAACUUACUUAUCCUAUGGAAAUACAGCUAUAUAGGAGAUAUUUUAAAAUUGAUAGGCACUGCAUGUUUCAACAUUUUAGAUUUGACCACAAUUUGGCACUUGAAACUACGUUAACAGAGAAAAACUGUGUGGUUUUCGAUGAAAGUGUUAAAAAGUCUAAUAUUGCAUCAUGAUUACUGUUUUAAAGUAUUUUCGUGUUUGAUUUAUAUUGAAUUUAUCUCAUCUUUUUACAGAAUGCAUU
Long non-coding RNA from Patella vulgata (common limpet), 1622 nucleotides. RefSeq lists it as uncharacterized. Lineage: Eukaryota; Metazoa; Mollusca; Gastropoda; Patellidae. The transcript has 3 exons. The record is from RefSeq and is a predicted model, not a curated record.